GAUGAACGCUGGCGGUGUGCCUAAUACAUGCAAGUCGUACGCAUUCUCGUUUCUGAUUGACGGUGCUUGCACCUAAUUGACGAGACAUUGGAAUGAGUGGCGGACGGGUGAGUAACACGUGGGUAACCUGCCCAGAAGCGGGGGAUAACAUUUGGAAACAGAUGCUAAUACCGCAUAAUAGAUAGAACCACAUGGUUCUAUUUUGAAAGAUGGCCUUUGUGCUAUCACUUUUGGAUGGACCCGCGGUGUAUUAGCUAGUUGGUAAGGUAACGGCUUACCAAGGCAAUGAUACAUAGCCGAACUGAGAGGUUGAUCGGCCACAAUGGGACUGAGACACGGCCCAUACUCCUACGGGAGGCAGCAGUAGGGAAUCUUCCACAAUGGGCGCAAGCCUGAUGGAGCAACACCGCGUGAGUGAAGAAGGGUUUCGGCUCGUAAAACUCUGUUGUUAAAGAAGAACGUAUCUAAGAGUAACUGCUUAGGUAGUGACGGUAUUUAACCAGAAAGCCACGGCUAACUACGUGCCAGCCGCCGCCGUAC
This 540-nucleotide ribosomal RNA is filed under the name uncultured bacterium. RNAcentral describes it as "partial 16S ribosomal RNA". It matches the Rfam family "Bacterial small subunit ribosomal RNA", at positions 28 to 523 of the family's 1533-position model. The record is from RNAcentral.